AUUGAACGCUGGCGGCAUGCCUUACACAUGCAAGUCGAACGGCAGCACGGGAGCAAUCCUGGUGGCGAGUGGCGAACGGGUGAGUAAAGUAUCGGAACGUGCCCAGUCGUGGGGGAUAACGUAGCGAAAGUUACGCUAAUACCGCAUACGAUCUAUGGAUGAAAGCGGGGGAUCGCAAGACCUCGCGCGAUUGGAGCGGCCGAUAUCAGAUUAGGUAGUUGGUGGGGUAAAGGCUCACCAAGCCGACGAUCUGUAGCUGGUCUGAGAGGACGACCAGCCACACUGGGACUGAGACACGGCCCAGACUCCUACGGGAGGCAGCAGUGGGGAACUUUGGACAAUGGGCGAAAGCCUGAUCCAGCCAUGCCGCGUGCAGGAUGAAGGCCUUCGGGUUGUAAACUGCUUUUGUACGGAACGAAAAGGUUUGGGCUAAUAAGCUGAGCUCAUGACGGUACCGUAAGAAUAAGCACCGGCUAACUACGUGCCAGCAGCCGCAGUAA
RNAcentral lists this ribosomal RNA (500 nucleotides) under uncultured bacterium. Its description in RNAcentral is "partial 16S ribosomal RNA". It matches the Rfam family "Bacterial small subunit ribosomal RNA", at positions 30 to 523 of the family's 1533-position model. The record is from RNAcentral.